UAGGGAAUCUUGCGCAAUGGGCGAAAGCCUGACGCAGCGACGCCGCGUGCGGGAUGAAGGUCUUCGGAUUGUAAACCGCUUUCAGCAGGGACGAAAUUGACGGUACCUGCAGAAGAAGCCCCGGCCAACUACGUGCCAGCAGCCGCGGUAAUACGUAGGGGGCAAGCGUUGUCCGGAUUUAUUGGGCGUAAAGAGCUCGUAGGCGGUUUGGUAAGUCACGUGUGAAAUCUCCACGCUCAACGUGGAGGCGCCACGUGAGACUGCUAUGACUAGAGUCCGGUAGAGGAGUGUGGAAUUCCCGGUGUAGCGGUGAAAUGCGCAGAGAUCGGGAGGAACACCCGUAGCGAAGGCGGCACUCUGGGCCGGUACUGACGCUGAGGAGCGAAAGCGUGGGGAGCAAACAGG
Molecule: ribosomal RNA, 405 nt
Filed under: uncultured bacterium
Lineage: Bacteria
Description: bacterial SSU rRNA
Rfam family: Bacterial small subunit ribosomal RNA
Source: RNAcentral